Molecule: ribosomal RNA, 837 nt
Filed under: uncultured archaeon
Lineage: Archaea
Description: bacterial SSU rRNA
Rfam family: Archaeal small subunit ribosomal RNA
Source: RNAcentral
GGUUACUGCUAUCGGUGUUCGCCUAAGCCAUGCGAGUCAUAUGUUCGUAAGAACAUGGCGUACUGCUCAGUAACACGUGGAUAACCUGCCCUUGGGUCCGGCAUAACCCCGGGAAACUGGGGAUAAUUCCGGAUAACGCACAUAUGCUGGAAUGCUUUUUGCGUAAAAUGGAUUCGUCUGCCCAAGGAUGGGUCUGCGGCCUAUCAGGUAGUAGUGGGUGUAAUGUACCUACUAGCCUACGACGGGUACGGGUUGUGAGAGCAAGAGCCCGGAGAUGGAUUCUGAGACAUGAAUCCAGGCCCUACGGGGCGCAGCAGGCGCGAAAACUUUACAAUGCGGGAAACCGUGAUAAGGGGACACCGAGUGCCAGCAUCCUAUGCUGGCUGUCCGGGUGUGUAAAAUACACCUGUUAGCAAGGGCCGGGCAAGACCGGUGCCAGCCGCCGCGGUAACACCGGCGGCCCGAGUGGUGAUCGUGAUUAUUGGGUCUAAAGGGUCCGUAGCCGGUUUGGUCAGUCCUCCGGGAAAUCUGACAGCUCAACUGUUAGGCUAUCGGAGGAUACUGCCAGACUUGGAACCGGGAGAGGUAAGAGGUACUACAGGGGUAGGAGUGAAAUCUUGUAAUCCCUGUGGGACCACCUGUGGCGAAGGCGUCUUACCAGAACGGGUUCGACGGUGAGGGACGAAAGCUGGGGGCACGAACCGGAUUAGAUACCCGGGUAGUCCCAGCCGUAAACGAUGCUCGCUAGGUGUCAGGCAUGGCGUGACCGAGUCUGGUGCCGCAGGGAAGCCGUGAAGCGAGCCACCUGGGAAGUACGGCCGCAAGGCUGAAACUUAA